Molecule: long non-coding RNA, 1145 nt
Filed under: Capsicum annuum
Lineage: Eukaryota; Viridiplantae; Streptophyta; Magnoliopsida; Solanales; Solanaceae
Description: long non-coding RNA (CANN_LNC016184)
Source: RNAcentral
ACAAGGUAUGUUAUUAUGAAAUUGCAGAUUAUUAUAGGAUUAGAUACAAAGAGCUAUGUAUUGUUAUAAAUUAACUUAAUUUGUAAUUAGUUUAGAAAUUCAUAUGCUGCUUGUAGGGACAAAGCCAGAGUUUUAGUUAUGAAUUCGAGAUAUUAAAUAACUUUGGCUAAAGUAUUGUAUUAAUAAAUUCACAUAAAAGCAGUAUGCUACUUUUUCUUACAUCAAGAAUAUCUAAACUCAAAAUUCUAAAUCUACUUUUCAUUGCUAGUGCAAAACAUAAACUAUUCUUUUUAAUUGUCACCAUGAUCAAGGACAAAAGAGCCAAGUGGCCACCCUUAUAAACACUAGCCAAGCCAUCCAAAACAAACCCUCUCUUCCCUUUCAUGUGAGGCUUCCUUUGCAUGGUUUUCCUUGUGGAUAGCCACCCUUUUGCCAUCAACUUUUACGGCAAGAGGGUGGCUAUGAAAAGGCGGUUCUCAUCAUUAAUUCACCAAAGAUGGUGCCUUCCUUGUUAGAAAUAUUGCAAUUCACAGCAUGAAUGGCCAUUAAUAAACUCUUGGUGCUGUUUUUUUUUGGUUGGAAAGGGCAAUUUUAUCCUUUGUCAUUUUCAACCCCCUUAAAGAGUCAUUUAGUUGGCUUGAUUGAUGAAAUAGUUUUUGAAAAGAAGAGCAAUCUCAAGGGUCUCAAGGGCAAGGCAAAUUAUUUAUGUUGAUCCUAUAGUUCUCCACUUAAUUAAUAGUUCUUAGUUAUUCAUGACUUUAAUUAUAUAAUGCAUAUUGUUGUGUGUUUGUGAGCUAUUUAGUUUAUGAUCAUGUUUGUGUGCUAGGCCUCUGGCCCAAAUAAAGAGAGUAUAGUGUUUGUAUUAAAGUUUGUUGCCAGUGUUAAAAAAUUACUAUAUGAUAUCUAUGGUGUAUAAUUUAAAUAUUAUAGCAAUAUUUAUUUGAAUUUGGGGUGUAUAAUAUUACUUGGUAUGGCAUCCGUCAUUUCUGUACCCUGUAACGCCAAAAAUUAUGAAAACAUAAAACCUUUUCUCUAAAAAAUUUUACUUUUAUUAAUGGAAAUGGUUAUUAAAUGCUUUUAGUUAGGGGUGGGCAUUAGGUUUGUUCGAUUUGAUAGUUUAAUAUCGGUUCGAUUUUUUUAUUUUU